Molecule: non-coding RNA, 1835 nt
Organism: Carica papaya (papaya)
Lineage: Eukaryota; Viridiplantae; Streptophyta; Magnoliopsida; Brassicales; Caricaceae
Source: RefSeq, a predicted model, not a curated record
CAUAUGAAUGCUUUUACUAAUCUGAAGCUUUUCCCAAGGGAUCUAGUUCUUUAACCAGUUGCAUUAUUAAUAUUUUAACAACUUUUGUCUUCUAUUAUUUGGUGUGUUCAGGAUUGUGCAUUGGCUGUUGAAUCUUUUUGUCAUGCAUCUAGAUUAAAUGCUAAAGAUUUCAAGGCUAUAGAUUAAUCUUUAAAGAGUCUGAUCAUUAACUCUAUAGAGCUUGCUAAGGUUUGGGAGAGGGUACUUAUGUGCAAUGGUUUGUCAAAAGGAAAUGUAUGUGCAAUAUUCUUUAAUUGUUAAAGUUGAGCUUCGAACAAAGUUAUGGUUUGUCUGGUUAUCAUUCAAUUCCUAAAUCUAAUUAUCAUAUUUGUCUUCAUAUGCAUAGAACCAAAUUUCUGAUGUUUGUGUUAUCACCAUCCCCACCUUGAAUUCGUUUUUGGUAGGAUUUCAAGUAUUACCUAAUUGAUUCUUAAUUCAAAUUUUAAUAUUAGUGUUAUUAUGCAUUAUGAAAAAAUAUUUUGUCAUUUAUAAUACAAGCACUUCACUUGAAUUCUUUGAUGGUGAGAAUUCAACUUCUACAUUCUGAUGUUGCAGUUGAAUUAACACGAUAAGCAAUUCAAAGCGGAGAUGGCGGUACCUCAAACAGCACAAGUGAUGUUCUUCUUAUGCAUAUUAAAAACUAACAUGGAAACUGCAACUAGGAAUUGAAUAUGAAUUGAGCAAUGUAUGAUUUUCAGAAAUUUAAGAUUGUUUACAUAAAGGCCGGGCUUAAUCUAUAAAUGGCAAAAUGCAGUAACUUAAAUCCAUGGUAUCAAUAUGUCCUUUUAGCUUCAGUGUGGCACAACUUCAUGCUUCCCUCGCAUGAUAUGUUUUAAAUGAAUCACUCUAGAAUUGUGUAUAUUUUUCAUAGAGCAAGUCUUCUAAUUAAUUUAUUUUUUGGGUAACAUACAAGAAACAUGGCUUCUAUUUUACUGAUCAUGUCACUGUAUUAUAGAAGAACAUCAUUUACUUGUGAAAAGACAAUCAGUCAGAUUUUUUUAAUAUGCUGUUGGAAUGGUCAUAUGACCUGAAAGCUGAUUUAUUGCAACCCAAUUUAAUUUCAUCUCAAUGUUAUGUCAAUGCUAAUUGAAAUUGAAUUCACUUCUUAUCCUACUUAGAUGAGGCUUCUCAUAGUCAAAUUUUGCCACAAAAUGUGGAACUGUCGGAUCCUCAUGCAUCUGCAGUUCCUGGACAGAGAGUAAAAUUUGAAGCAGAGAGGACAUCUGCAAUUCCUGAACGGAGAGUAAGAUUUGAAGCAGAGAGGGCAUCAGCAGUUCCUGAACCUAGAGUAAAAUUUGAACUAGAGAGGGCAUCAGCAGUUCCUGAGAGGUUAAAAGCAGUGCCUGCAUCUAGAGAGGAGGAACCUGUCCCAAAAUCAAAAUCUGGAUUUGACAGUUCUAAGGCUUUCACAGGUUCCAUCAUUGAGCGCAGUCAGAAUUUAGAAACAAACGCACAGGGGAAAAAUGCAACUUCCUCUCAGCUGUCAUCCGGUGCUCAACCUUCCAAGCCAGUUUCUAGAUUCAAGAUGCAAAGAAGGUAGUUUUCGAUACCUGAAUAUAGAUGACUGUGAAAAUCGUGCCUCUUUUAUAUCCCAAGCGGCGUAGACAUAGUGGAUCAAUGUCAAUGAAGCGGUGUUACAAGAGAAGGUUGUCAGCUACCGUCCUCAUCUUAUAAUCAUUUUUGGUUUGUAAUUUAUUGGUAAAAUGUAAAAAGAUUUAAAAAUAGAAGAUUGCAUCAACCUUUUAAACAUCUAAUGUGCAUUAACAUCCGGAUGCAGGAAAAUAUUUUCUCGGUUA